Molecule: transfer RNA, 64 nt
Filed under: Scolytinae sp. BMNH 1039994
Lineage: Eukaryota; Metazoa; Arthropoda; Insecta; Coleoptera; Curculionidae
Description: tRNA-His
Rfam family: tRNA
About the family: Transfer RNA (tRNA) molecules are approximately 80 nucleotides in length. Their secondary structure includes four short double-helical elements and three loops (D, anti-codon, and T loops). Further hydrogen bonds mediate the characteristic L-shaped molecular structure. tRNAs have two regions of fundamental functional importance: the anti-codon, which is responsible for specific mRNA codon recognition, and the 3' end, to which the tRNAs corresponding amino acid is attached (by aminoacyl-tRNA synthetases). tRNAs cope with the degeneracy of the genetic code in two manners: having more than one tRNA (with a specific anti-codon) for a particular amino acid; and 'wobble' base-pairing, i.e. permitting non-standard base-pairing at the 3rd anti-codon position.
Source: RNAcentral
ACUAGAAUAGUUUAUUAGAAUAUUAACUUGUGGAGUUAAAGGUGUAAGAUGUUUACUUUUAGUA